RNAcentral lists this long non-coding RNA (980 nucleotides) under Homo sapiens (human). RNAcentral's name for it is "long non-coding RNA NONHSAT161844.1". The record is from RNAcentral. Lineage: Eukaryota; Metazoa; Chordata; Mammalia; Primates; Hominidae.
AACCAAGAAAAACAGUGGAGGGGGAAUAAAACAUGUUUAAAUCUUUUUUUUGUCUUAAAACCAUCUUUAAUUUCACAGUCACAAAAUAAAACAUAACUCGAAUGUUUUGAUGUUUGCAGUGACAUCGAUUGUGAAAAAGGUUAGCCAGAAAGGAAACGCAGUGAGACAGAGCGCUCGGCCACCCCCUGCCCUGGGCGCCUGGCGCAUGGGGGGCGGGGCGGGGCUCGCGGGGUGACGUCACAGCCCGACGCGCCACCCAGCUGUUUUUGUGCUCCCAGCUCUAGCGAAAAGCCGCCGGUAUUUCUCCAUCUGGCUCUCCUCUACCUCCAGGCAGGCUCACCCGAGAUCCCCGCCCCGAACCCCCCCUGCACACUCGGCCCAGCGCUGUUGCCCCCGGAGCGGACGUUUCUGCAGCUAUUCUGAGCACACCUUGACGUCGGCUGAGGGAGCGGGACAGGGUCAGCGGCGAAGGAGGCAGGCCCCGCGCGGGGAUCUCGGAAGCCCUGCGGUGCAUCAUGAAGUUCCAGUACAAGGAGGACCAUCCCUUUGAGUAUCGGAAAAAGGAAGGAGAAAAGAUCCGGAAGAAAUAUCCGGACAGGGUCCCCGUGAGUGUAGAGGAGCUCCAAAAGCCAGGGUGCCUGAUCUGGACAAGAGGAAGUACCUAGUGCCCUCUGACCUUACUGUUGGCCAGUUCUACUUCUUAAUCCGGAAGAGAAUCCACCUGAGACCUGAGGACGCCUUAUUCUUCUUUGUCAACAACACCAUCCCUCCCACCAGUGCUACCAUGGGCCAACUGUAUGAGGACAAUCAUGAGGAAGACUAUUUUCUGUAUGUGGCCUACAGUGAUGAGAGUGUCUAUGGGAAAUGAGUGGUUGGAAGCCCAGCAGAUGGGAGCACCUGGACUUGGGGGUAGGGGAGGGGUGUGUGUGCGCGACAUGGGGAAAGAGGGUGGCUCCCACCGCAAGGAGACAGAAGGUGAA